Molecule: non-coding RNA, 70 nt
Organism: Dipodomys ordii (Ord's kangaroo rat)
Lineage: Eukaryota; Metazoa; Chordata; Mammalia; Rodentia; Heteromyidae
Source: Rfam
GGGAAUGUAGCUUAGUGGUAGAGUGCUUGCCUUGCAAGCAUGAAGCCCUGGGUUUGAUUCCUAAGUACCA